CACAAACAUGCCCCUUCAUCCACACACGCUUCAGUCUUCUCAUUUGUAAGCCCUAAACCGUUGCUUUUUCAAAAAUCCAAUUGCAUCCUCAUUUGCCUUUCAUCACCUGCAAGGUUUCAUUGUUUAUUUCUUCCGCAAAAACGACGAAUUAGGAGCUUAUUGUGUUUGUGAGUUCCUUUAAUUGAGUUGAGAUUUUUUCUUGAUUUAGGGUAUGAUUCUCAUUUUAAUAGACGGUACUCAAUUGUUGUGUUGUUAUGAGUGAUUUUUGACAGGUCGGUCGGUUGUAUCAUUUUAUGAAUUGUUUAUUAAAAUUUUCAGAGAUUAAAUGAAUUGGUAACUAUCACGGGAGUUGAUUUUUGUAUAAGGUUUGUCAGAUGAAAACUUAUAAGGAGAACACCGUCACCGCUAGCGGUUUUCAUCGGAGGCUUAAAAUGGAAGGGAGAAAAAGAAUAGAGGUUAAAGAGACUCCUGAUGAUGAUGACUAUAUAUGCAGAAAGUAUGGUUAAAAGGACAGACAUUCUUGGUUUCAAAUACCCAAUAACCUUUUCCUUGCUGCUAAUGCUCACAGUUCUAUGCAAGGAAUAUAGUUUGUGUGAAAAAUGCUUUUCAUCAUGUAAGUUUAACUGUAAGUCUUGGUAUUCAGAACAUAAAAGUUAUUAAAAUAUUUGAAAAUCAUACCAUAGAUGGAACUUCAGCAAGAUAUCUGCUUGUUGUGCAAAGAAUCAAGUUCAAAAAAGAUCUACUAAAGAGCCAUAUGUCUCUCAAGUUGUUCACGUAGGAAACCACACAUGCCUUGCAAUAUUAAGUAACAAUUAUUAUGUAUUUAAAGUUUUUUCUUUAUAGAAUCUGGGAUUGAGAUGGUAGCCCAAUUUGUGUCUAGAUAGUUGAGUGCAAUAAAGUCUGGUAGUUUGCUGAUUUUA
Molecule: long non-coding RNA, 920 nt
Organism: Helianthus annuus (common sunflower)
Lineage: Eukaryota; Viridiplantae; Streptophyta; Magnoliopsida; Asterales; Asteraceae
Exons: 2
Source: RefSeq, a predicted model, not a curated record